ACUCCUACGGGAGGCAGCAGUGGGGAAUAUUGGACAAUGGGCGCAAGCCUGAUCCAGCCAUGCCGCGUGAGUGAUGAAGGCCCUAGGGUUGUAAAGCUCUUUCACCGGUGAAGAUAAUGACGGUAACCGGAGAAGAAGCCCCGGCUAACUUCGUGCCAGCAGCCGCGGUAAUACGAAGGGGGCUAGCGUUGUUCGGAUUUACUGGGCGUAAAGCGCACGUAGGCGGACUAUUAAGUCAGUGGUGAAAUCCCGGGGCUCAACCCCGGAACUGCCUUUGAUUCUGGUAGUCUUGAGUUCGAGAGAGGUGAGUGGAAUUCCGAGUGUAGAGGUGAAAUUCGUAGAUAUUCGGAGGAACACCAGUGGCGAAGGCGGCUCACUGGCUCGAUACUGACGCUGAGGUGCGAAAGCGUGGGGAGCAAACAGGAUUAGAUACCCCUGUAGUCCCAUGA
Molecule: ribosomal RNA, 449 nt
Filed under: uncultured organism
Description: partial 16S ribosomal RNA
Rfam family: Bacterial small subunit ribosomal RNA
Source: RNAcentral